CAGUAGCCACGGGAAUACGAAGGGGGCUAGCGUUGCUCGGAAUUACCGGGCGUAAAGGGAGCGUAGGCGGAUCGUUAAGUUGGGGGUGAAAGCCCGGGGCUCAACCUCGGAACUGCCUUCAAUACUGGCGAUCUUGAGUAUGAGAGAGGUGUGUGGAACUCCGAGUGUAGAGGUGAAAUUCGUAGAUAUUCGGAAGAACACCAGUGGCGAAGGCGACACGCUGGCUCAUUACUGACGCUGAGGCUCGAAAGCGUGGGGAGCGAACAGGAUUAGAUACCCCAGUAGUCCCUGUCUCUUAUAC
Molecule: ribosomal RNA, 301 nt
Filed under: uncultured bacterium
Lineage: Bacteria
Description: partial 16S ribosomal RNA
Rfam family: Bacterial small subunit ribosomal RNA
Source: RNAcentral